RNAcentral lists this small RNA (28 nucleotides) under Bombyx mori (domestic silkworm). RNAcentral's name for it is "ovarian small RNA-18515". The record is from RNAcentral. Lineage: Eukaryota; Metazoa; Arthropoda; Insecta; Lepidoptera; Bombycidae.
UAACAAAACUCGUGAGCGCGAAUAUGUC